RNAcentral lists this long non-coding RNA (1506 nucleotides) under Bos grunniens (domestic yak). RNAcentral's name for it is "lncRNA (ENSBGRG00000007432.1)". The record is from RNAcentral. Lineage: Eukaryota; Metazoa; Chordata; Mammalia; Artiodactyla; Bovidae.
AGGCCAUCCAGGCAGGCCCCCCCUAAGGGGAGGGGGGCAGGAACGUCCCCCUCACCACGGCCCAUCCUAACUCAGUAACCUGCGUCUCCUUCUCUGGACAGCAAAGCUGUAGCAUGAAGCCUCCGUCCACCAGCACCCAACAAGCUGACCAAACAGCUAACAAGAAAGGGGGAUUGCCUGCAGGGCCCAGACCUCACACCAGCCCAGAGGCACGGCAACAGACCCCAGGCACCUUGCAGAAAAGACUUCGGAAUUCUCGCAUUUAGUGGCAGAGCAAGAAGACAUUCAGGAAAGAGCCCCGAGGGUAUGCCACGUGGGACGGGGCAGCCAUGUCCAAGACCACAAGGGCAGCAUAAAGAGUGGGGAGCGGGGGCGAGGGACGAUGGGAGUCGCCUCUACAGGAGCCCCGUGAUCUGAGGUCAGACGUUAGAUGAGAAGACAGCAGAGCGAGGCGAGAUGUAAGAGCCGAGGAAACAGGUCAGGGUCACGCCAUAGCUAGGACAGGAAACCGAGGGCCCAGGGUGGCAGUGACUAGCACGGGGAAGCCUGGAGGUGGGCUGGGGCGAGACCAAGCAGUUAGCACAAUCGCUUCGUCAUUCAUUUGCUAAGCACCCACUUCAAGCCACACACUUCAGAUGCUGGGGGCCGGGGGGAGGGGCAGUCACUGUCCAGCAGGAAGCGGGGAAGCAGUGAUAAAUACAGCAGUCCAGGCCUUGAGGACAAAGUGAUGAGAGGGGUCAGGGGACAAGCGCUCACGUGGGGGCACUGUUUGUUUAGAGGCGGGGAUACUGGUGAGGAGGGACCCAUGGGAGCCUAAUGGUGGGUGAAAGGGUCCAGAGGCCACUGGACAGGGCAGCGUCCCUGUGCAGGGCCUGCAGGGCUCCGGGUGACCUGAGCUGACCUUUGGCCCUGGCGGCCACUUGCUGAGGGAUGGGGCCCGCAGCAGCGUGUGGAGGCCAGUGACCCAGCAGGAGGCACAGGGCGCAGGAGGCUGCAGUUUGAAAAAGGCUCAAAGACCCUCCACAGGCCACUCUCCCCAGCAUCACCUGGGAGCCCCCAGGACCACAGCAGGCUGAGUCACACGGAGCCCACCUCGCCUGCUCACUCAGCCUCAGAGACGAGAGAGAUGCUCUUCAGAAAACCCAUGUCACAUGCAGCAAGGACAAAAGCUAGCCCUGUUCCCCGCAGCAACGUUUGAGACCUGAAGACCAAGUCAGGAGGCCGAGAACACUUUACCAAAGAAUGCUGCCCCGGCCUGCGGAGGGUGCCGUCCAGCGGGGAGCAGGGAGCAAAUGAUACACAGGGUGGCUGAGGCCUUGAAGACAAGCGUGAUGAGGGUCAGGGCACAGGGCGAUCACAGUGGGGGCACUGGCGAAGCAGGCACCCUUGGGAGCCUAAUGGUGGGUGAAGAGGUCCCACCAUGAGAGUCUAAAGGCCUUGGGCAAACAUUUUUAAACCUAGAACCUGAGAAAUAAGGUUCUUUAAAAAUGUAAAAGCUGACCUUCG